UCAACCACUCAGGCUUCUUAACAUUGAGAUCUCUCCCAGUGUGUGAACCCAUCAUUCCGCCUGGGUAGGGCCCCUUCUUCUUGGCAGCCGAGGAAUCAUUGUGAAUCUCAAUUGCAGCAUUGGAUGAAUCCACAGAUAAACAUCGAAUUUGUGAAGGAGAAGUACAUUUGUAGUUNNNNNNGGAAUGGGAAUGAUAAGAAGAGAAAUGAAAGAAUCUGGGGAUGGAGAUUGAAGGAUUAGAAAGGGAUUGCACCAUCAUUUGCGUUUGAGCGAUGUUUGCCGAAAAUUGAAGAACCCAAGUUUCAAUUACAAUUAUAAUUUACAGAAAGGAAAUGUUUCAUUGAACUAUCCGCCCUCGUCAUCU
RNAcentral lists this unclassified non-coding RNA (364 nucleotides) under Hevea brasiliensis (rubber tree). Lineage: Eukaryota; Viridiplantae; Streptophyta; Magnoliopsida; Malpighiales; Euphorbiaceae. The record is from RNAcentral.